AAUAUUGGACAAUGGGCGAAAGCCUGAUCCAGCCAUGCCGCGUGUGUGAAGAAGGUCUUCGGAUUGUAAAGCACUUUAAGUUGGGAGGAAGGGCAGUAACCUAAUACGUUGGUGUCUUGACGUUACCGACAGAAUAAGCACCGGCUAACUCUGUGCCAGCAGCCGCGGUAAUACAGAGGGUGCAAGCGUUAAUCGGAAUUACUGGGCGUAAAGCGCGCGUAGGUGGUUUGUUAAGUUGAAUGUGAAAUCCCCGGGCUCAACCUGGGAACUGCAUCCAAAACUGGCAAGCUAGAGUAUGGUAGAGGGUAGUGGAAUUUCCUGUGUAGCGGUGAAAUGCGUAGAUAUAGGAAGGAAC
This 355-nucleotide ribosomal RNA is filed under the name Salmonella enterica subsp. enterica serovar Anatum. RNAcentral's name for it is "bacterial SSU rRNA". It matches the Rfam family "Bacterial small subunit ribosomal RNA", at positions 360 to 707 of the family's 1533-position model. The record is from RNAcentral. Lineage: Bacteria; Pseudomonadati; Pseudomonadota; Gammaproteobacteria; Enterobacterales; Enterobacteriaceae.